RNAcentral lists this long non-coding RNA (836 nucleotides) under Canis lupus familiaris (dog). RNAcentral describes it as "lncRNA (ENSCAFG00000058152.1)". Lineage: Eukaryota; Metazoa; Chordata; Mammalia; Carnivora; Canidae. The record is from RNAcentral.
UUCAAACACAUGUGACAGAGCCCAUUGCCAUAGGAGAUGGGGCCCUGAGCCAAGACUAGAAGCUCUUCAGACUUGACUCUUAGGCCAGGGAGAUGGUCGAAACAAAAACAAAACCUACUUUCAAUUAAAUUGUUAAUGCCUGGGAGCCCACCCUGACGCUCAUUUCUAUCACUAGGAGCCACCUUCAGCUAGACAUUCACUCAACAGUAGGCCUGAAAUAAAACCAGAAAUCCUCACUCCUAGCCUUGCCCCGGCACAUUGAAAACAGGAAUAUGCAUAAAAAGCCGUCUGCAGGAGUCGACUAUUGGAAAUGCACCAGCAGAGGGCGCGAGAGCCCCACCAGUCCCUGCCCACUGACCUCUCCAGGAGGAGCUGCAAGGAAAGCCAGAGAACCCACGUAAGGAAUCAAUUCCAAAAGGCCUCCUCAAAAUCCAGUGUUUGAAACUCAUAAGAAGUGACAUCCAUCCAUCCCUUUAUUUAUUUACCCAGCACUUUGUUGAGCACCUGCAGUGACCCAGGCAUGGGGCUAGACCACGCAUUUUCCCAGAAAGUGGUGCUGUAACAAUAGUUAGAUUUGAGACUAGCCCUCAGAAGCCUUUUAAGUCUUUAGAGAAAAUAGAAUUAGUGAGACUAUUUUCUGUUCUAGAGUAGAGAAAAGGAAUGGAGGAAGGACACUAUGGAAGAGAAGAAUUGGAGAGAUGAGCAGGAAUAAGAGGACCUUGGGGAAGAAGUAAAGUUGGGUUUCAACCCCUGCUCAGUGAUAAAAUAUUAAACCUUAAAAAGUUUGUCUCUGGCAUCCUCCCAUUUCCUUUUCUAGACCCUGACUUGGGUCUAGA